GCCCUAGUGGCUUAGACCGGCAUAGCGGCUGAUUUGUAAUCAGCAGGUCGGGGGUUCAAAUCCCUCCUGGGGCU
RNAcentral lists this transfer RNA (74 nucleotides) under Methanocorpusculum parvum. Its description in RNAcentral is "tRNA-Thr". It matches the Rfam family "tRNA". From Rfam's summary of the family: Transfer RNA (tRNA) molecules are approximately 80 nucleotides in length. Their secondary structure includes four short double-helical elements and three loops (D, anti-codon, and T loops). The record is from RNAcentral. RNAcentral also lists the same sequence under 1 other name. Lineage: Archaea; Methanobacteriati; Methanobacteriota; Methanomicrobia; Methanomicrobiales; Methanocorpusculaceae.